RNAcentral lists this ribosomal RNA (1371 nucleotides) under uncultured bacterium. Its description in RNAcentral is "16S ribosomal RNA". It matches the Rfam family "Bacterial small subunit ribosomal RNA". The record is from RNAcentral.
AGAGUUUGAUCCUGGCUCAGGACGAACGCUGGCGGCGCGCCUAACACAUGCAAGUCGAACGAGCGAGAGAGAGCUUGCUUUCUCGAGCGAGUGGCGAACGGGUGAGUAACGCGUGAGGAACCUGCCUCAAAGAGGGGGACAACAGUUGGAAACGACUGCUAAUACCGCAUAAGCCCACAGGUCGGCAUCGACCAGAGGGAAAAGGAGCAAUCCGCUUUGAGAUGGCCUCGCGUCCGAUUAGCUGGUUGGUGAGGUAAUGGCCCACCAAGGCGACGAUCGGUAGCCGGACUGAGAGGUUGAACGGCCACAUUGGGACUGAGACACGGCCCAGACUCCUACGGGAGGCAGCAGUGGGGAAUAUUGCACAAUGGGGGAAACCCUGAUGCAGCGACGCCGCGUGGAGGAAGAAGGUCUUCGGAUUGUAAACUCCUGUUGUUGAGGAAGAUAAUGACGGUACUCAACAAGGAAGUGACGGCUAACUACGUGCCAGCAGCCGCGGUAAAACGUAGGUCACAAGCGUUGUCCGGAAUUACUGGGUGUAAAGGGAGCGCAGGCGGGAAGACAAGUUGGAAGUGAAAUCUAUGGGCUCAACCCAUAAACUGCUUUCAAAACUGUUUUUCUUGAGUAGUGCAGAGGUAGGCGGAAUUCCCCGGUGUAGCGGUGGAAUGCGUAGAUAUCGGGAGGAACACCAGUGGCGAAGGCCGGCUACUGGGCACCAACUGACGCUGAGGCUCGAAAGUGUGGGUAGCAAACAGGAUUAGAUACCCUGGUAGUCCACACCGUAAACGAUGAUUACUAGGUGUUGGAGGAUUGACCCCUUCAGUGCCGCAGUUAACACAAUAAGUAAUCCACCUGGGGAGUACGACCGCAAGGUUGAAACUCAAAGGAAUUGACGGGGGCCCGCACAAGCAGUGGAGUAUGUGGUUUAAUUCGACGCAACGCGAAGAACCUUACCAAGUCUUGACAUCCCUUGACGAACAUAGAAAUAUGUUUUCUCUUCGGAGCAAGGAGACAGGUGGUGCAUGGUUGUCGUCAGCUCGUGUCGUGAGAUGUUGGGUUAAGUCCCGCAACGAGCGCAACCCUUACUGUCAGUUACUACGCAAGAGGACUCUGGCAGGACUGCCGUUGGCAAAACGGAGGAAGGUGGGGAUGACGUCAAAUCAUCAUGCCCUUUAUGACUUGGGCUACACACGUACUACAAUGGCGUUAAACAAAGAGAAGCAAGACCGCGAGGUGGAGCAAAACUCAGAAACAACGUCCCAGUUCGGACUGCAGGCUGCAACUCGCCUGCACGAAGUCGGAAUUGCUAGUAAUCGUGGAUCAGCAUGCCACGGUGAAUACGUUCCCGGGCCUUGUACACACCGCCCGUCA